UUAAGAUUCUGAGAAAAGGAGGAAAAAAAGAAUGCUGUCAAGCAUUUCCAAAUAGCAGAGCCUUGCAAUUUCUGUAAGGCUACCAGAGAAAUCAGUUUUUGCAAUUGCUGUUGUUGGUAAUUUCUAAUCCUGAUUUGUUAAAAUUGCAUCAUCUUAUGAUUCAUUGUCAUUAGAAAUGGGUAUAUUAGAUGCUGUUGAUGCUGAAAUGGUUAGCAAUUUCAGAUGCUUAGAUUGUGAUGUCGAAUUGUUUGGUCACUGUAAUAGUGUGAUUUACUUAUGGAUUUAUGAUAAUUUUGAUUUUGGGGGUUCUAUGUUUUUUUAACCCUUCCACUGAAGAAUACAAAAAUACCUUAAUCACCUAAGUAUGAUUUCUAUGGGAAUGAUAUACUACCUGAGGAUGGUUAGAUUAAGGGACUGAUGAUUACAAGUUGGUGAACAUCUAUACAGUAAGAUCAAAUCCAUUUGCAAACCAGAUUCAGUCCUAAUUUCCUAGAAACCCAGGGAUGCAGUAAACCGGAUAGAAAUGGGGUUGGUCAGAAGAAGAAAUUCAAGUGGUCUUCUCCUGGCUUCUGAGAAGAAGAUAAUGGCGAUGAUUAUAACCAUUCUCCUGGCUUCUGAGAAGAAGAUAAUGGCGAUGAUUAUAACCAUUGUGAAUCAAAUGGGUUAUAGUACGUCAUAAAAUUCACAUGCGGCUGCUUAACUGGAUUGGAAUCUCCAAAGGUCUGAUUAAGGAAAACUCCACAUUGCUACCAUGGCAUCUGUGCAAGAUUGAUUCAGAUUGUUAUAGUGGUGGUUGUCAAUGUGGAGUUAAUCGAACAAGUUUUUCACCUGCUCUUUAUGAUGCUGAGAGAAUGCAAGUGGAGAACAAGGUGGUGAAUACAUGUAAUUGAGCAUUUGAAGACGUCGCUUAUGAUGCCGAAGAUAUGCCGGGACGAGAAUUGAAAUGAAAUGCAAAAGAAGAUUUCAAGACGUUGCUUAUGACGCAGAUAUCUCAAAACCAAUUUGUCUUGGUCUCAAGAUGGCUCAAGAGAUCAAUGAUCUCAACCAGAUUUGGGGUUUAAAAAGCAAGGACAGUUUCAAGAUGGCUCAAGAAAUCAAUGAUCUCAACCAGAUUAGUUUUUACAAGCUAUGGAAGAUCAAUGAUCUCAACCAGAUUAGUUUUUAAAAGCUUUGGAAAAUCAAUGAUCUCAACCAGGUUUAAAAAGCGAGGAAAGGCUAAUAUACAUUCACUAAAGAAGCCGAUCAAAAAAAAAAAAAAUACAUUCACUAAAGAAUACAAAAAGGAGGAUGCAUGUAUUGUUGAAGAUGGCAUCCCUUUUACUUUUGAUGUUUUAAUUUAUAGUUGUAAAAAUGUACCUUGGAAUAAUGAAAUGAAUGUUGUUUUUUUU
Long non-coding RNA from Papaver somniferum (opium poppy), 1388 nucleotides. RefSeq lists it as uncharacterized. Lineage: Eukaryota; Viridiplantae; Streptophyta; Magnoliopsida; Ranunculales; Papaveraceae. The record is from RefSeq and is a predicted model, not a curated record. The transcript is spliced from 2 exons.